UUUGGUUUGGCGGGGUGCCUUAAUACAUGCAAGUCGAGCGAAUGGAUUAAGAGCUUGCUCUUAUGAAGUUAGCGGCGGACGGGUGAGUAACACGUGGGUAACCUGCCCAUAAGACUGGGAUAACUCCGGGAAACCGGGGCUAAUACCGGAUAACAUUUUGCACCGCAUGGUGCGAAAUUGAAAGGCGGCUUCGGCUGUCACUUAUGGAUGGACCCGCGUCGCAUUAGCUAGUUGGUGAGGUAACGGCUCACCAAGGCAACGAUGCGUAGCCGACCUGAGAGGGUGAUCGGCCACACUGGGACUGAGACACGGCCCAGACUCCUACGGGAGGCAGCAGUAGGGAAUCUUCCGCAAUGGACGAAAGUCUGACGGAGCAACGCCGCGUGAGUGAUGAAGGCUUUCGGGUCGUAAAACUCUGUUGUUAGGGAAGAACAAGUGCUAGUUGAAUAAGCUGGCACCUUGACGGUACCUAACCAGAAAGCCACGGCUAACUACGUGCCAGCAGCCGCGGUAAU
Molecule: ribosomal RNA, 515 nt
Filed under: Bacillus pseudomycoides
Lineage: Bacteria; Bacillati; Bacillota; Bacilli; Caryophanales; Bacillaceae
Description: bacterial SSU rRNA
Rfam family: Bacterial small subunit ribosomal RNA
Source: RNAcentral